GGAUUUGAUGGCAAUCUGGCUGCAACAUCUGUUACUCUGUUGAUCAGCAGGGUUGAUUUGUUGAUAUGGCUGGCUAGGCGGGUGUCCCCUUCCUCUCUGUGAGUCUCUCCUGAAGCUGUCCCCCUGGUGGAAGGGGACAACUUCCCUGAAAAGAGAUGGACUGGUCUUUGGUUGAGGGCAUACUAGUAGCAUAAAACUCUGGUGUGCUAUCUUUAUGAUAUCUCUCCAGUUCUGUAUCUUUUUGAAUUAAUGCCCCUAGUGGAAUUGUUAGGUCAUGUGGUAGGCUUACUUUUAAUU
This 297-nucleotide small nuclear RNA is filed under the name Erinaceus europaeus (western European hedgehog). RNAcentral describes it as "7SK RNA". It matches the Rfam family "7SK RNA". From Rfam's summary of the family: 7SK was discovered as an abundant small nuclear RNA in the mid-70s but a possible function has only recently been suggested. The record is from Rfam by way of RNAcentral. Lineage: Eukaryota; Metazoa; Chordata; Mammalia; Eulipotyphla; Erinaceidae.